Long non-coding RNA from Branchiostoma floridae (Florida lancelet), 867 nucleotides. RefSeq lists it as uncharacterized. NCBI's taxonomy places the organism in Eukaryota, Metazoa, Chordata, Leptocardii, Amphioxiformes, Branchiostomatidae. The transcript has 4 exons. The record is from RefSeq and is a predicted model, not a curated record.
AUAUGUUUUCAACACUGACCACUAGCACCAGUUGAAUGGGCAAGACGUGUGCAAAGUAUAAUUUAAGCUGAAGUCAUCUCUGCCACGUCACAAACCUUCACAGGAGCCCAGAAAAGCUACCUAUCGGCGAAAUCGGAGGUAAAAAUCAUGCCAGAUCCCUGCAAGUGUACCGACGGGUGCAAAUGUGUUGACUGCAAGUGCGGUGCUGACUGCAAGUGCAAGGACUCUUCCAAGGCCUGUGACUCCGGCGACUGUAAGCCUUGUGAGAAGGAGUGCAAGACUGACCAUGAUCACCACAAACAUUCUCACUGAACAGUGAUCCCGAGUGCUGAGGCCCUGCAGACUGACUUGACAAUGACAGAUCACACCAAGCUAACAGGGAGUCCAAAAAAUGCACAAUAUUUCUUAAAUUCCUUUAAAGUUUGAUAUACUGAGCAAGUCGGAGACAUAUGACACAUUGUUUUCGUUGUUCAGAAAAGCUUUCAAUUAAAAUGUAACAUUUCUGUAGACAUCAUCAUUAUAUCUUAUCACUCCAUCUCCUAAUCCAGCUGCGGGCUGCCUCGGUGGCCUCUCUUACAUGUCGAUCACUGUCUGAGCAGGUUGGGCCGAGUUCACAGUAGACAUGAAUACACUGAAGUAAAGAUGGCCUAAUUUUGCAUUGAUAAUAUCACUGCAAUAUAUACAACAUACCUUUAUAAGUCUUUUACCUAACUUACUGCAAGUAUCACAACCACUGCAAGAUGUCCUCAAUGUUCAUGAUUUUGUUAACAUCACAAAGCACAAAAGCAUAUACACAGUCACAGCAAAAACUGAAGAUUACACAUUCUCGAUUUUCCGCAUUAUGUUGAAUAGAUUCACAUUGCAAAA